AGCCUAUUAGCUCAAUUGGUAGAGCAUUGUGCAAAUUCACAAAGACGUGGGUCCGACUCCCACGUAGGUUU
Molecule: non-coding RNA, 71 nt
Organism: Spinacia oleracea (spinach)
Lineage: Eukaryota; Viridiplantae; Streptophyta; Magnoliopsida; Caryophyllales; Amaranthaceae
Source: Rfam